AUGAACGCUGGCGGCGUGCCUAAUACAUGCAAGUCGAGCGCACAGACGAGGAGCUUGCUCCUCUGACGUUAGCGGCGGACGGGUGAGUGACACGUGGAUAACCUACCUAUAAGACUGGGAUAACUUCGGGAAACCGGAGCUAAUACCGGAUAAUAUAUUGAACCGCAUGGUUCAAUAGUGAAAGACGGUUUUGCUGUCACUUAUAGAUGGAUCCGCGCCGCAUUAGCUAGUUGGUAAGGUAACGGCUUACCAAGGCAACGAUGCGUAGCCGACCUGAGAGGGUGAUCGGCCACACUGGAACUGAGACACGGUCCAGACUCCUACGGGAGGCAGCAGUAGGGAAUCUUCCGCAAUGGGCGAAAGCCUGACGGAGCAACGCCGCGUGAGUGAUGAAGGUCUUCGGAUCGUAAAACUCUGUUAUUAGGGAAGAACAAAUGUGUAAGUAACUAUGCACGUCUUGACGGUACCUAAUCAGAAAGCCACGGCUAACUACGUG
RNAcentral lists this ribosomal RNA (496 nucleotides) under uncultured bacterium. Its description in RNAcentral is "partial 16S ribosomal RNA". It matches the Rfam family "Bacterial small subunit ribosomal RNA", at positions 29 to 507 of the family's 1533-position model. The record is from RNAcentral.